RNAcentral lists this ribosomal RNA (397 nucleotides) under uncultured bacterium. Its description in RNAcentral is "bacterial SSU rRNA". It matches the Rfam family "Bacterial small subunit ribosomal RNA", at positions 358 to 772 of the family's 1533-position model. The record is from RNAcentral.
GGAAUCUUGGACAAUGGGCGCAAGCCUGAUCCAGCCAUGCCGCGUGAGUGAAGAAGGCCUUCGGGUUGUAAAGCUCUUUUACCAGGGACGAUAAUGACGGUACCUGGAGAAUAAGCCCCGGCCAACUUCGUGCCAUCAGCCGCGGUAAUACGAAGGGGGAUAGCGUUGUUCGGAAUUACUGGGCGUAAAGCGCACGUAGGCGGGUCGUUAAGUCAGGGGUGAAAUCCCAGAGCUCAAAUCUGGAACUGCCUUUGAGACUGGCGACCUAGAGUCCGGAAGAGGUUAGUGGAAUUCCCAGUGUAGAGGUGAAAUUCGUAGAUAUUGGGAAGAACAACAGUGGCGAAGGCGGCUAACUGGUCCGGUACUGACGCUGAGGUGCGAAAGCGUGGGGAGCAAA